This is a long non-coding RNA of Erinaceus europaeus (western European hedgehog), 442 nucleotides long. RefSeq lists it as uncharacterized. Lineage: Eukaryota; Metazoa; Chordata; Mammalia; Eulipotyphla; Erinaceidae. The record is from RefSeq and is a predicted model, not a curated record. The transcript has 3 exons.
CACAACCUCUAUGGCUGAUACUGUUAUCUUUCUUUUACAGAUGAGAACUCAGAUGCUUAGACCGGAAAGUGAUGAGUCCAGGGGGGUUGUGGCUGCCCAUUGGCCAUCACAGAAGAUACAGAAGAGUCAGAAGAGAGGAGACUGGCAGAGCCCAUGGGCUAACUGUUACUCCAAGAAGCAGACAUCAUAUUGAAAGCUGAAUGAACCUUGACAUAAUUAAGGAAGAGCCACCAGUUUCCAGAUGCCAGCAUGAUGCCAACCAGACUUCCCUGGACAGAUGACCCCACCAAUGUGUCCUGGAGCUCCACUUCCCCAGAGCCCCACCCUACUAGGGAAAGAGAGAGGCAAACUGGGAGUAUGGAUCGACUAGUCAACGCCCAUGUUCAGCGGGGAAGCAAUUUCAGAAGCCAGACCUUCCACCUUCUGCAUUCCACAGUCACCU